AUAGCUAUUUUAUUACUCUGAAUGUUUAGAACAGAGAAACAUCACUAUCAAUAGCUUCCAUCAACCAUGAAGUUACAAAUUCACAUACAUCGGAUACAAUUCCAUCAAAUUUACAUACAUGAAUCAAAAGAGAAUGAAAACAGAGGCGCAACAUCUAAAAACACUAGUGCAUCAACUAAAUAUUCACAGCGUGAGACCUCUUUUCAUAAUGUUUGGUUACAGCUUAAGUUGCAAGCUUCUCUUCAAGGUUACCCUGCAGUGGACGUAAAUGAACUUGUACAAAAGUGCAAGUGUCUCGCAUAAAAAAAAGUGCAAGUGUCAACACUUCGAUACAAAAAGGUGACAACAAACAGGAACAAUAUCUAUAAGAUAUAAUAAGCAUAAUCGAUCUGAUAUCUCAGUUUCUCGCAAUAACAGUGGCAUAUAUACACAACUUGUUUUUGUCACAGCAAAGUUACCCAAUUUUACAGCUAUAUGGAAAAAAUAAUGGAGUAAUUUGUGAUAGAAUCAUAUCUCAGAUUUAUACAAACCAUGCAACUGAAAAAAUCCAUUCAAAUGACAACCUAAUCACAUGCUUCUGGAUUAGUUAGAAAUAUUUAUCAGCUAACAGUCUGGAUUGAUGAGAUAUUAGAGGCUUCUUGCAAGUCAGGCUCAAAUCACAGUACCAAUGUCAAUACUCUUAAGUGCAAGUGCUCAAUGAUGCAUCACCACAAAAUUGUAUGGUAAGAAAAUAACAAGGAGUUAAGUCUAACCAUUUCAGAUGUUCGAGAAAAAUGGGCAGAGUCAUCAUCAUCUCCAUAACAGUAAAAACCAAAGGAUUAUGCAAUUAUUCAAUAAUGUAACAACAGGGAACAGUACCUCUUUAUUCAGAAGAAUAAGUAGAAUUUCUUGCCUUUAUUGAUAACCUUAACGUCCUGCUUCAGCCUCCUUAUUGUGCUGAUCCUAUUCCGUGUAAUUUCCAUGCAACAGAUCAUUGGUCCCUAAAUCAUAACAUAAUGAAAGAGCAUGAAACCAAAAGGAUCAUUGGUCCCUAAAUCAUAACAUAAUGAAAGAGCAUGAAACCAAAAGGAUCAUUGGUGAGACAAUAAUACAUUUUUACAGUACUGCAUGGUGAGACAAUAAAGGGCCCCAAAGAAAUAGAAAGGGGUAGUUUGCAGAUUAAACCAACAUAGCAGCUACUGGCUCAAUAAUGUUGAUCUGAGGAUGUUGGGCACACUGAACACAGCACGGUAUGUUUUAAUAUACACAAGGCAACUUGAUUUGAUAAUUAUUAAUGAUACAAGUUUGGAGACCAGGGUGAAAGCAAAAGUAAAAAUACCUUGAUAAGAACAAAAGCUCUUGCAUCUCUCGUAGAUCCCGAAUCUUGAAUUUUGCUCCUACUCAAGAUGGAUUGCAAACUAAAAAAAUCAGACCUCAAAUAGGUAUUAACCAAUAUUUAAUUUAUAGGUUGAUGUGCAUACAACAACAAAAUAUGGAAGGGAAUAGUACCACUUCAUUUGGAAGAAUAUUAUUCAAUUUCUUACAUUGAGUGAUAACGUGUGAUGUUUGUUCAAUUCUUCCUAAAUCAAAAAAUAAUGAAAGAGAUUAAAUCAAAGGGUAUGGACAAACAAAUUAGAGAGCAAAACUGUUACAUACUCGAUAGUCAGACAAUAAAAAAAUCAUAAGGAAAUAGAAUGGAAAGUAACAUUAGGAGUUUAAGACUGAACAAAUGUAGCAGCUAUUGGCUCAAAACAGACCAGAUGAUCUUGAGCAUACUAGACAUCGAAUGUUAUUGUAAUAUAUAGGAGAAAACAUGCCAUACAAUUAUUCAUGAUAAAUUUUGGAAGGGUGAAAGCACAAGUAAAAAACCUUAUGCACCGUCUGUACCAACACAAGACAAAAAAAUAGUUUAUGUAUAGAACCUGCUAAUGUCUUUUUCAUGAUUCUUAUUUACUGCUCGAUCUUGAGAAAAUUAACUGAGAAACCAAUGUUCGCUGUUACUUCUUACUCUAGUUUCAACUUCCGGUUACAUGUUGAUACACAAAAUACAAAUAUUGGAAGGGGUGACCCACAAUUACAAAACCAGAAAAGAAGAUAUGCAGA
RNAcentral lists this long non-coding RNA (2082 nucleotides) under Triticum aestivum (bread wheat). RNAcentral's name for it is "long non-coding RNA (TAES_LNC025088)". The record is from RNAcentral. Lineage: Eukaryota; Viridiplantae; Streptophyta; Magnoliopsida; Poales; Poaceae.